GCAUGCCAGUUUGAGCGUACCCAGCAAUGGGGAGCAGCGUAAGGGGCAGUUAAGGCAUGGGUAUCUACCCGGGGAUCGGGCAUAGCCUGUAGAGAUACAGGGUAAUUCCCGAUGAUGUCGCAAGACCAAAGCUCCGGCGUCCCUGGAGGAGCCCAUGUGAUAUUAGCUAGUUGGUGGGGUAACGGCCUACCAAGGCGAAGAUGUCUAGCGGGUGUGAGAGCACGACCCGCGCCACUGGCACUGAGACACUGGCCAGACACCUACGGGUGGCUGCAGUCGAGGAUCUUCGGCAAUGGGCGCAAGCCUGACCGAGCGAGGCCGCGUGGGCGAUGAAGGCCUUCGGGUUGUAAAGCCCUGUCGAGGGGGAGAAAAGCCGCAAGGCGUGAUCUAUCCCUGGAGGAAGCACGGGCUAAGUUCGUGCCAACAGCCGCGGUAAGACGAACCGUGCGAACGUUGUUCGGAAUCACUGGGCUUAAAGGGCGCGUAGGCGGGCUAUCAAGUCCGGGGUGAAAUCCUCCAGCUCAACUGGAGAACUGCCUCGGAUACUGAUGGUCUCNAGGAGGAUAGGGGCACACGGAACUGUGGGUGGAGCGGUGAAAUGCGUUGAUAUCCAUAGGAACUCCGGUGGCGAAAGCGGUGUGCUGGAUCCUUUCUGACGCUGAGGCGCGAAAGCCAGGGGAGCAAACGGGAUUAGAUACCCCGGUAGUCCUGGCCCUAAACGUUGGGUACUAGGUAGUAGACUAGACAUGGGUUUACUUCCGGAAGCAAAAGUGCUAAUACCCCGCCCUGGGGAGUAUGGUC
Molecule: ribosomal RNA, 801 nt
Filed under: uncultured bacterium
Lineage: Bacteria
Description: bacterial SSU rRNA
Rfam family: Bacterial small subunit ribosomal RNA
Source: RNAcentral